UUGCAUACCAGUAGACCUUGUCUGGUUCUUCCCGUAGCCAGGCAAGGGGGACGGUGCAUGCAAGAAAAACCUGGGGUUGCUGCAGGCUGAGAUCAGCCUCCAUGUGACUGGUUGAACUGCCGUGCUCUGACAUAC
RNAcentral lists this small nucleolar RNA (135 nucleotides) under Numida meleagris (helmeted guineafowl). RNAcentral's name for it is "Small nucleolar RNA SNORA58 (ENSNMEG00000006242.1)". It matches the Rfam family "Small nucleolar RNA SNORA58". From Rfam's summary of the family: ACA52 is a member of the H/ACA class of snoRNA that guide the sites of modification of uridines to pseudouridines. Lineage: Eukaryota; Metazoa; Chordata; Aves; Galliformes; Numididae. The record is from RNAcentral.